GCCGGGCGCAGUGGUGCGCGCCUGUAUAGUCCCAGCUACCCGGGAGGCUGAGGUGGGAGAUCGCUCGAGCCCAGGAGUUCUGGGCUGCAGUGCGCUAUGCCGAUUGGGUGUCCACACUAAGUUCAGCAUCGAUAUGGUGACCUCCUGGGAGCGGGGACCACCAGGUUGACUAAGGAGGGGUGAACCUGCCCAGGUCGGAAACGAAGCAGGUCAAAACUCCGGUGCUGGUAAGUAGUGGGAUCACGCCUGUGAAUAGCAACUGCACUCCAGCCUGGGCAACAAAGCGAGACCCUGUCUCC
RNAcentral lists this signal recognition particle RNA (299 nucleotides) under Cebus imitator (Panamanian white-faced capuchin). Its description in RNAcentral is "Metazoan signal recognition particle RNA (ENSCCAG00000004060.1)". It matches the Rfam family "Metazoan signal recognition particle RNA". From Rfam's summary of the family: The signal recognition particle (SRP) is a universally conserved ribonucleoprotein. It is involved in the co-translational targeting of proteins to membranes. The record is from RNAcentral. Lineage: Eukaryota; Metazoa; Chordata; Mammalia; Primates; Cebidae.